RNAcentral lists this ribosomal RNA (541 nucleotides) under uncultured bacterium. Its description in RNAcentral is "bacterial SSU rRNA". It matches the Rfam family "Bacterial small subunit ribosomal RNA", at positions 777 to 1308 of the family's 1533-position model. The record is from RNAcentral.
AAUAGAUACCCCGGUAGUCCACGCCGUAAACGGUGGGCACUAGGUGUGGGCGACAUUCCACGUCGUCCGUGCCGCAGCUAACGCAUUAAGUGCCCCGCCUGGGGAGUACGGCCGCAAGGCUAAAACUCGAAGGAAUUGACGGGGGGCCCGCACAAGCGGCGGAGCAUGUGGCUUAAUUCGACGCAACGCGAAGAACCUUACCAAGGCUUGACAUACACCGGAAACGUCCAGAGAUGGGCGCCCCCUUGUGGUCGGUGUACAGGUGGUGCAUGGCUGUCGUCAGCUCGUGUCGUGAGAUGUUGGGUUAAGUCCCGCAACGAGCGCAACCCUUGUCCCGUGUUGCCAGCAGGCCCUUGUGGUGCUGGGGACUCACGGGAGACCGCCGGGGUCAACGUCGGAGGAAGGUGGGGACGACGUCAAGGUCAUCAUGCCCCUUACGUCUUGGGCUGCACACGUGCUACAAUGGCCGGUACAAUGAGCUGCGAUACCGCGAGGUGGAGCGAAUCUCAAAAAGCCGGUCUCAGUUCGGAUUGGGGUCUGC